AUUAAUGUCUGCUCCAUUGAAGAAUCCAAUUAUAUAUGCAUCUGUGCAUUUUCUUUUUAUGCGACAGGUAUGUGAUCUUAAAAUUAGGUUCGGGAGUUGCUUUUAAAUUUAAGCUGGCUUCGGGUGUCGGUAAUAAAAAAGAUUCUUCCAUUUUCUUGGCAAUUCUUCCAUUUUAGGUAUGAAAUUAGGCAUAACUGUCUGAGAUUUGCCUUGCGUAUGUCUGAACUGAGGUUCAAAUAAAAAAGUUCGAAGUUUGCUUGCAUAAGCAAUGCGCUUCAAUCGUGUAUAUCUGAAGUGGUUAUACUUACAAAAAUUUCUUUCGGCUAUCUGAAGUGGUUAAACUUACAAAAAAUUCUAAAUUUCGGCUAUUGCCUUAAAUGAGGAUCUCAAAAUCGGCCAUCUAUGCACUUGCCCCUGUGAUGUGGGAGGUGGAUCACUGUGAUGUGGGAGGUGGAUCACUG
RNAcentral lists this long non-coding RNA (461 nucleotides) under Nicotiana benthamiana. RNAcentral describes it as "long non-coding RNA (NBEN_LNC024180)". The record is from RNAcentral. Lineage: Eukaryota; Viridiplantae; Streptophyta; Magnoliopsida; Solanales; Solanaceae.